RNAcentral lists this unclassified non-coding RNA (520 nucleotides) under uncultured Glomus. RNAcentral's name for it is "SSU rRNA". It matches the Rfam family "Eukaryotic small subunit ribosomal RNA", at positions 569 to 1092 of the family's 1831-position model. Lineage: Eukaryota; Fungi; Glomeromycota; Glomeromycetes; Glomerales; Glomeraceae. The record is from RNAcentral.
AGCAGCCGCGGUAAUUCCAGCUCCAAUAGCGUAUAUUAAAGUUGUUGCAGUUAAAAGCUCGUAGUUGAAUUUCGGGGUUAGUAGGUUGGUCAUGCCUCUGGUAUGUACUGGUCUCACUGAUUCCUCCUUCCUGAUGAACCUUAAUGCCAUUUAUUUGGUGUUUUGGGGAAUUUGGACUGUUACUUUGAAAAAUUAGAGUGUUUAAAGCAAGCUAACGCUUGAAUACAUUAGCAUGGAAUAAUGAAAUAGGACGUUCGAUCCUAUUUUGUUGGUUUCUAGGAUUGACGUAAUGAUUAAUAGGGAUAGUUGGGGGCAUUAGUAUUCAAUUGUCAGAGGUGAAAUUCUUGGAUUUAUUGAAGACUAACUACUGCGAAAGCAUUUGCCAAGGAUGUUUUCAUUAAUCAAGAACGAAAGUUAGGGGAUCGAAGACGAUCAGAUACCGUCGUAGUCUUAACCAUAAACUAUGCCGACUAGGAAUCGGAUGGUGUUAAUUUUUUAAUGACUCAUUCGGCGCCUUACG